CGACGGGAGCUUGCUCCCUUAGGUCAGCGGCGGACGGGUGAGUAACACGUGGGUAACCUGCCUGUAAGACUGGGAUAACUCCGGGAAACCGGGGCUAAUACCGGAUGCUUGAUUGAACCGCAUGGUUCAAUCAUAAAAGGUGGCUUUUAGCUACCACUUACAGAUGGACCCGCGGCGCAUUAGCUAGUUGGUGAGGUAACGGCUCACCAAGGCGACGAUGCGUAACCGACCUGAGAGGGUGAUCGGCCACACUGGGACUGAAACACGGCCCAGACUCCUACGGGAGGCAGCAGUAGGGAAUCUUCCGCAAUGGACGAAAGUCUGACGGAGCAACGCCGCGUGAGUGAUGAAGGUUUUCGGAUCGUAAAACUCUGUUGUUAGGGAAGAACAAGUACCGUUCGAAUAGGGCGGUACCUUGACGGUACCUAACCAGAAAGCCACGGCUAACUACGUGCCAGCAGCCGCGGUAAUACGUAGGUGGCAAGCGUUGUCCGGAAUUAUUGGGCGUAAAGCGCGCGCAGGCGGUUUCUUAAGUCUGAUGUGAAAGCCCCCGGCUCAACCGGGGAGGGUCAUUGGAAACUGGGGAACUUGAGUGCAGAAGAGGAGAGUGGAAUUCCACGUGUAGCGGUGAAAUGCGUAGAGAUGUGGAGGAACACCAGUGGCGAAGGCGACUCUCUGGUCUGUAACUGACGCUGAGGCGCGAAAGCGUGGGGAGCGAACAGGAUUAGAUACCCUGGUAGUCCACGCCGUAAACGAUGAGUGCUAAGUGUUAGAGGGUUUCCGCCCUUUAGUGCUGCAGCAAACGCAUUAAGCACUCCGCCUGGGGAGUACGGUCGCAAGACUGAAACUCAAAGGAAUUGACGGGGGCCCGCACAAGCGGUGGAGCAUGUGGUUUAAUUCGAAGCAACGCGAAGAACCUUACCAGGUCUUGACAUCCUCUGACAACCCUAGAGAUAGGGCUUCCCCUUCGGGGGCAGAGUGACAGGUGGUGCAUGGUUGUCGUCAGCUCGUGUCGUGAGAUGUUGGGUUAAGUCCCGCAACGAGCGCAACCCUUGAUCUUAGUUGCCAGCAUUCAGUUGGGCACUCUAAGGUGACUGCCGGUGACAAACCGGAGGAAGGUGGGGAUGACGUCAAAUCAUCAUGCCCCUUAUGACCUGGGCUACACACGUGCUACAAUGGGCAGAACAAAGGGCAGCGAAGCCGCGAGGCUAAGCCAAUCCCACAAAUCUGUUCUCAGUUCGGAUCGCAGUCUGCAACUCGACUGCGUGAAGCUGGAAUCGCUAGUAAUCGCGGAUCAGCAUGCCGCGGUGAAUACGUUCCCGGGCCUUGUACACACCGCCCGUCACACCACGAGAGUUUGUAACACCCGAAGUCGGUGAGGUAACCU
RNAcentral lists this ribosomal RNA (1387 nucleotides) under Bacillus licheniformis. RNAcentral's name for it is "bacterial SSU rRNA". It matches the Rfam family "Bacterial small subunit ribosomal RNA", at positions 70 to 1441 of the family's 1533-position model. The record is from RNAcentral. Lineage: Bacteria; Bacillati; Bacillota; Bacilli; Caryophanales; Bacillaceae.